Molecule: long non-coding RNA, 500 nt
Filed under: Phoenix dactylifera (date palm)
Lineage: Eukaryota; Viridiplantae; Streptophyta; Magnoliopsida; Arecales; Arecaceae
Description: long non-coding RNA (PDAC_LNC001688)
Source: RNAcentral
CUUCAUGACUCAUGCAGGUUUUGCCCUCCACUUUUAGCAGAGAUCCCUUGCUCUCUACCUGCAUGCAGGUGAGCUGUGACAUAAUAAACAGUCAGUAGUGCUUAAGUUGAUAUAAAAAUCUAUGGUAUAUAUGAGUGUCAAUGCAGGAUAGCCUGCUUUUUACAAUAAGAUAUGUGUUUUCUUGAGGAAAAAAGAAAAGAAAAAGGAGGGAUGUGAAUCAUGUCUCAAGUGGUGGCUUUCACAUCUCCUUAUCACAGAGCAGACUCAGAACUUCGGAAUUCAUCCAAUGCCUAUCUUUGAGCUAACAUAUUUCAUGGUUAUCUUUGUCAAUGCAUGAUAUAGUACCCCCUCCCCCACACACAAAAAAAACCUUUAUUGAUCAUGUACACUCAGCAACAAAAAUCAGAACAUUGGCAGUUGGUAACUGGUCCUUCCAACUUUGUGGCCUUCUACUUGGCCGAUAUUGUGAGCUUGACAUGGUUAGGCCUCAAAGUAUAAGC